RNAcentral lists this unclassified non-coding RNA (198 nucleotides) under uncultured fungus. Its description in RNAcentral is "sequence contains ITS1". The record is from RNAcentral. Lineage: Eukaryota; Fungi.
GUAUUUGAUUUUAAAAUCAAAAUUUAGGCAAAAUUAAAGCGAGUUGGAAAAAAACCGCCGGCUCGUCCUCCGCGAAGGAAUACACCGACGGCCUUGUUCGAUGAGUGCACAUAAGGACGAAUCGUGGUCCAUCGGACGCCCAAGGGGCGAACGACGGUUAACCUUGUAAUGAUCCUUCCGCAGGUUCACCUACGGAAA